GACGGAACUGACGGAGGUGACGGAAGUGACAGAACUGACGGAACUGACGGCGAUGACGGAACUGACGGAACUGACGGAGGUGACGGAACUGACGGAACUGACGGAACUGACGGAGGUGACGGAAAUGACGGAGGUGACGGAACUGACGGAGGUGACGGAACUGAUGGAGGUGACGGAACUGACGGAGGUGACGGAACUGACGGAGGUGACGGAACUGACGGAGGUGACGGAAGUGACAGAACUGACGGAACUGACGGCGAUGACGGAACUGACGGAACUGACGGAGGUGACGGAACUGACGGAACUGACGGAACUGACGGAGGUGACGGAAAUGACGGAGGUGACGGAACUGAUGGAGAUGACGGAAGUGACGGAACUGACGGAGGUGACGGAACUGACGGAAGUGAUGGAACUGACGGAGGUGACGGAAAUGACGGAGGUGACGGAACUGAUGGAGAUGACGGAAGUGACGGAACUGACGGAGGUGACGGAACUGACGGAGGUGACGGAACUGACGGAGGUGACGGAGGUGACGGAACUGACGGAGGUGACGGAACUGACGGAGGUGACGGAACUCACGGAGGUGACGGAACUGACGGAGGUGACGGAACUGACGGAACUGACGGAGGUGACGGAACUGACGGAGAUGACGGAACUGACGGAGAUGACGGAGGUGACGGAACUGACGGAACUGACGGAGGUGACGGAACUGACGGAGGUGACGGAACUGACGGAGGUGACGGAAGUGACAGAACUGACGGAACUGACGGAGGUGACGGAACUGACGGAACUGACGGAGGUGACGGAACUGACGGAAGUGACGGAACUGACGGAGGUGACGGAAAUGACGGAGGUGACGGAACUGAUGGAGGUGACGGAAGUGACGGAACUGACGGAGGUGACGGAGGUGACGGAACUGACGGAGGUGACGGAACUGACGGAGGUGACGGAACUGACGGAGGUGACAGGUGACGGAACUGACGGAACUGACGGAACUGACGGAGGUGACGGAGGUGACGGAACUGACAGAGGUGACGGAGGUGACAACUCAAAACAGACAUUUAUUUGUCGAUUAAAACAACAAAAAAGUUCAAUACAAAAAUGUGUAAAAUUAUUUUGUUUGAAAAAUCCCUCAAUAACAUGAUCAGAUCAAUAACAUGAUCAGAUCUUUCAGAUUUUCUGACAGAGUUGAUGUUGUACUAAUUGCAUAUUUUUUACUAAUUUAGUCAAGUGGUAUACUACGUAGCAAUUUUGUUUUUUGCUCAAUUGCUUUUUUUGGCUCUAAAACCUAAUUAAAUUUAACAUAUUCUACAUUAAUUUUAUACCUUUAUUUAACUAGGCAAGUCAGUUAAGAACAAAUUCUUAUUUUCAAUGACGGCCUAAGAACUGCAGUUUCAGGGGCAGAACGACAGCUCAGGGAUUUGAACUUUGCAACCUUCCGGUUACUAGUCCAACGCUCUAACCACUAGGCUACCCUGCCGCCCCAUCUAUAAUCUAUAAGGUAGAUGGAGUUGACUGGUUGUGACCAUGGGGGGGGGAUCAAUAAUAUUUGUUUAAUGUAGCUGCCCAUUCUCGUUCCUGAAUAAUUUGAGUUGACCAAAACUCCAAACAGUUCUGAGAUAAAUAUUCCUUGACGUCAGAGAAGGGACAUGAUAUCCUACUUCAGUUAAUAUCCAUUAUUCUCAGUUUGUUGGAAAUGGAAAUUAAUAAUAUUGAAAAUAUUUAGGAAAAUUACCCUGAAUAAAAAUAUUUUUCCUCAUAAAAU
Long non-coding RNA from Oncorhynchus tshawytscha (Chinook salmon), 1765 nucleotides. NCBI's taxonomy places the organism in Eukaryota, Metazoa, Chordata, Actinopteri, Salmoniformes, Salmonidae. The record is from Ensembl.